CCUACGGGAGGCAGCAGUGGGGAAUAUUGCGCAAUGGGCGAAAGCCUGACGCAGCGACGCCGCGUGAGGGAUGAAGGUCUUCGGAUCGUAAACCUCUGUCAGCAGGGAAGAACGGUCACUGUGCUAAUCAGCAGUGAAUUGACGGUACCUGCAAAGGAAGCACCGGCAAACUCCGUCCCAGCAGCCGCGGUAAUACGGAGGGUGCGGGCGUUAAUCGGAAUUACUGGGCGUAAAGCGCUCGUAGGCGGUAUUGCAAGUCAAGGGUGAAAUCCCCGCGCGGAACGUGGGAACUGCCUUUGAAACUGGCAAACUGGAGUGGGUGAGAGGAUAGUGGAAUUCGAGGUGUAGGAGUGAAAUGCGUAGAUAUCGGGAGGAACAUCAGUGGCGAAGGCGACUAUCUGGCACAUAACUGACGCUGAGGAGCGAAAGCGUGGGUAGCAAACAGGAUUAGAUACCCGGGUAGUC
This 465-nucleotide ribosomal RNA is filed under the name uncultured bacterium. Its description in RNAcentral is "partial 16S ribosomal RNA". It matches the Rfam family "Bacterial small subunit ribosomal RNA", at positions 338 to 795 of the family's 1533-position model. The record is from RNAcentral.